RNAcentral lists this ribosomal RNA (844 nucleotides) under uncultured bacterium. RNAcentral describes it as "bacterial SSU rRNA". It matches the Rfam family "Bacterial small subunit ribosomal RNA", at positions 74 to 933 of the family's 1533-position model. The record is from RNAcentral.
GGCCCUUCGGGGUACUCGAGUGGCGAACGGGUGAGUACACGUGGGUGAUCUGCCCUGCACUUUGGGAUAAGCCUGGGAAACUGGGUCUAAUACCGAAUAUGACCAUGCGCCUCNUNNNGUGUGGUGGAAAGCUUUUGCGGUGUGGGAUGGGCCCGCGGCCUAUCAGCUUGUUGGUGGGGUAAUGGCCUACCAAGGCGACGACGGGUAGCCGGCCUGAGAGGGUGACCGGCCACACUGGGACUGAGAUACGGCCCAGACUCCUACGGGAGGCAGCAGUGGGGAAUAUUGCACAAUGGGCGCAAGCCUGAUGCAGCGACGCCGCGUGAGGGAUGACGGCCUUCGGGUUGUAAACCUCUUUCAGCACAGACGAAGCGCAAGUGACGGUAUGUGCAGAAGAAGGACCGGCCAACUACGUGCCAGCAGCCGCGGUAAUACGUAGGGUCCGAGCGUUGUCCGGAAUUACUGGGCGUAAAGAGCUCGUAGGUGGUUUGUCGCGUUGUUCGUGAAAACUCACAGCUUAACUGUGGGCGUGCGGGCGAUACGGGCAGACUUGAGUACUGCAGGGGAGACUGGAAUUCCUGGUGUAGCGGUGGAAUGCGCAGAUAUCAGGAGGAACACCGGUGGCGAAGGCGGGUCUCUGGGCAGUAACUGACGCUGAGGAGCGAAAGCGUGGGGAGCGAACAGGAUUAGAUACCCUGGUAGUCCACGCCGUAAACGGUGGGUACUAGGUGUGGGUUUCCUUCCUUGGGAUCCGUGCCGUAGCUAACGCAUUAAGUACCCCGCCUGGGGAGUACGGCCGCAAGGCUAAAACUCAAAGAAAUUGACGGGGGCCCGCACAAGCGGC